This 207-nucleotide ribosomal RNA is filed under the name uncultured bacterium. RNAcentral's name for it is "partial 16S ribosomal RNA". It matches the Rfam family "Bacterial small subunit ribosomal RNA", at positions 568 to 774 of the family's 1533-position model. The record is from RNAcentral.
CGUGUAGGCGGCUAUGCAAGUCGGGUGUGAAAGCCCUGGGCUUAACCUAGGAAGUGCACUCGAAACUGCAUAGCUCGAGUCCCGGAGAGGAUGGUGGAAUUCUCGGUGUAGAGGUGAAAUUCGUAGAUAUCGAGAGGAACACCUGUGGCGAAGGCGGCCAUCUGGACGGGCACUGACGCUGAGACGCGAAAGCGUGGGUAGCAAACA